This 253-nucleotide ribosomal RNA is filed under the name uncultured bacterium. Its description in RNAcentral is "partial 16S ribosomal RNA". It matches the Rfam family "Bacterial small subunit ribosomal RNA", at positions 524 to 776 of the family's 1533-position model. The record is from RNAcentral.
UACAGAGGGGGCAAGCGUUGUUCGGAAUUACUGGGCGUAAAGCGUGCGUAGACGGUUACAUAAGUCGGGUGUGAAAGCCCCGGGCUCAACCUGGGAAUUGCAUUCGAGACUGCGUAGCUAGGGUGCGGAAGAGGGAAGCGGAAUUUCCGGUGUAGCGGUGAAAUGCGCAGAUAUCAGGAAGAACACCUAUGGCGAAGGCAGCUCUCUGGGACGGUACUGACGCUGAGACGCGAAAGCGUGGGGAGCGAACAGG